GAAAGUAUAGCUCAGUGGUAUAAUGCAUGCUAGCAUAAGGUCUGGGUUCAAUUCCCAGUACUUCCA
This 66-nucleotide transfer RNA is filed under the name Camelus bactrianus (Bactrian camel). It matches the Rfam family "tRNA". From Rfam's summary of the family: Transfer RNA (tRNA) molecules are approximately 80 nucleotides in length. Their secondary structure includes four short double-helical elements and three loops (D, anti-codon, and T loops). Further hydrogen bonds mediate the characteristic L-shaped molecular structure. tRNAs have two regions of fundamental functional importance: the anti-codon, which is responsible for specific mRNA codon recognition, and the 3' end, to which the tRNAs corresponding amino acid is attached (by aminoacyl-tRNA synthetases). tRNAs cope with the degeneracy of the genetic code in two manners: having more than one tRNA (with a specific anti-codon) for a particular amino acid; and 'wobble' base-pairing, i.e. permitting non-standard base-pairing at the 3rd anti-codon position. The record is from Rfam by way of RNAcentral. Lineage: Eukaryota; Metazoa; Chordata; Mammalia; Artiodactyla; Camelidae. RNAcentral also lists the same sequence under 2 other names.